RNAcentral lists this ribosomal RNA (421 nucleotides) under uncultured bacterium. RNAcentral's name for it is "partial 16S ribosomal RNA". It matches the Rfam family "Bacterial small subunit ribosomal RNA", at positions 361 to 774 of the family's 1533-position model. The record is from RNAcentral.
AUCUUCCGCAAUGGACGCAAGUCUGACGGAGCAACGCCGCGUGAGCGAAGAAGGUUUUCGGAUCGUAAAGCUCUGUUGUGAGGGAAGAACAAAUAAGGGAGUAACUGUCCUUAACGUGACGGUACCUCACCAGAAAGCACCGGCUAUCUGCCUGCCAGCAGCCGCGGGAAUACGUAGGUGGCAAGCGUUGUCCGGAACUAUUGGGCGUAAAGGGCACGCAGGCGGUCUUAUAAGGCUGAUGUGAAAUCUCGCGGCUUAACCGCGGGCGGUCAUUGGAAACUGUAGAGCUUGAGUACAGAAGAGGAGAGUGGAAUUCCACGUGUAGCGGUGAAAUGCGUAGAUAUGUGGAGGAAUACCAGUGGCGAAGGCGGCUCUCUGGUCUGUGACUGACGCUGAGGUGCGAAAGCGUGGGUAGCAAACA